Molecule: unclassified non-coding RNA, 2212 nt
Filed under: Nilaparvata lugens (brown planthopper)
Lineage: Eukaryota; Metazoa; Arthropoda; Insecta; Hemiptera; Delphacidae
Description: uncharacterized LOC111050917, transcript variant X1
Source: RNAcentral
CAGUCCUUUAAUAGCCAGCUAGCAGGCAACAGCUGGUAAUAUUUCUGAUUAGUGUUUCUACUUAGCAGAUGAAGCCGGUUUAAUUUAUAAACUAAUACAGGUUAAAACCAAAUAAAAUUGAUUUAUUUAAUGUGGUGUUAGUGAAAAAUACAUAGAAAAUAUAACAGCAAAUACAACCCUACAUCUGUUUAAAUAUAGGUGCAGUGUUUGUUUUUUUAACACACGUGAAGACAAAAAAAUAAAAGAUCUACAAAAUAAUUUAUGACAGAGGGAAUCUAAAAAUCAUUUUUCGAAAAUGUUCCCUUGGCAUGUGAAGAUAGAUGAGGAAGUUAAAAGAUAUCCUGAUCUGAAGUUAGAGGAUAUCCACACCAUUAGACAGUGGAUGAAAUCCCAGCCACAUUUACCUACAAUUGAUGACGAAGUGAUAGGCCAAUUCAUCUAUGCCUGCUAUUUUAAUCUGGAGCAAACGAAACGCACAAUAGAGACCUGCUAUACGUAUAAGGCUUCAAUGCCAGAAUUUUCAAAAAAUUGGGAUGUCACGUCUCCUAGUGUAGCAGAUGCCGGCGAAAAUUUACACAUUGUUCUCCUACAGGCUUGGACAAUGAUGGAAAUCAGGUGAUACUAUGUAAGCUAAACAAUAUGGCGGCUUCCCAAUAUGUAUUCAGCGAAUGUAUCAAGUGGAUUAUGAUGACUGUAUUUCUAUGUCAGCUGGAAAACGGUAUCAGACCAGGGUUCACUAUCGUCUAUGAUGCAGAUGGCUUUGGAAUGACACAUUUGUUCAAAAAUCCACUCAAUCAAGUCAAAAACUACAUUGCUUUUGGACAGAACGCUUCAAAUAUCAGGGUAACUGGUAUAAGAUUCAUAAAUUCAAGCAUUGUAAUAAAGAAGCUAAUAAGCUGGCUAAGGCCGUUCUUGAAUCAGGAAGUCAUGAAGAUGCUGAGUGUUCACACAGUAGCGGAUGAAUAUUUCAAAGAUAUUCCAAGAGAAAUAGUUCCUUCAGAUUAUGGUGGAGAUGGACCUUCAUUAGAGGAAUUAACAAAAAGUCAACGCGAGAAAAUGCUCAAAAUCAGAGAUCUACUGAUUGUUCAGGAACAAAUGUGCUGCGAUGAAACGAAGAGGGUGAAUGGUAAGAACAAGAAGAUUAACAAAGAGGAUGGAGACUACGAAACAGCGAGUGAAGAGGAAGAGAAAACUACGAAGAAGGAGAAGGAGAAUAAAAUAGAAACGACUCCUACAUUUGCUGGUUUAACCUUGGACUGAGAAACUGGUUUCAAAAUUAGUUUUGUAUCAAAUACUGAGUUCCGUAUCAAAUGAGUUGUGUAUCAAAUACUGACUUCCGUAUCAAAUGAGUUUUGUAUCAAAUACUGAGUUCCGUAUCAAAUGAGUUUUGUAUUAAAUACUGAGUUCCGUUUCAAAUGAGUUGAGAUCUGUAUCAAAUGAUAUGUAUAAUAUUAUUAUCAAAUGAGUUGUGUAUCAAAUACAGAGUUCCGUAUCGAAUGAGUUCUGUGUCAAAUGAGAUGUAUAAUAUUAUUAUCAAAUGAGUUGUGUAUCAAAUACUAAGUUCCGUAUCAAAUGAUUUAAGUUUUGUAUCAAAUAAGCUGGGUUGUUUCAAAUGAGUUUUGUAUCAAAUACUGACUUCCGUAUCAAAUACGUUGAGUUCUGUAUCAAAUGAGAUGUAUAAUAUUAUAAUCAAAUGAGUUGUUUAUCAAAUACUGAGUUCCGUAUUAAAUACGUUUUGUAUCAAAUCAGUUUUGUCUACUUAGUGCCAAUUGCACAAAAGCCGGUUAAAUUUUAACCGUGAUUAAUUACACGAAAACCAAUCAGAGAAGUCCUUUUAGAGGAGACGGCUUCUCUGAUUGGUUCCCGUGAAAUAAAUCACGGUUAAAAUUUAACCAGCUUUUGUGCAACUGGAAUACAUAUUUUGUGGUGAUGGAAUAAAACUUGGAAAGUUUAUUGAUUCAGUUGAAAUAAAAUUAACUAAAUUAAUUCAGUUGAAAUAACAGAUGUUUUCUUGUGAUGAUGAAAAGAUGGAAUAAAACUUGGAAAGUUUAUUAAUUCAGUUGGAAUUAAAUUAAUUCAGUUGAAAUAACAGAUGCUUUCUAACUGUUAAAAUAUCAACAAAGCCUGCCCAAUCAUUCCAUAAGUAUUUUAUUUAUUUCAUUCCUAUGAUUGUAUUGUGAAGUAUUAAAUAAUAUAUAAAAAUCAAAAUUUA